RNAcentral lists this small nucleolar RNA (85 nucleotides) under Setaria italica (foxtail millet). RNAcentral describes it as "Small nucleolar RNA Z247". It matches the Rfam family "Small nucleolar RNA Z247". Rfam says of the family: Z247 is a member of the C/D class of snoRNA which contain the C (UGAUGA) and D (CUGA) box motifs. Lineage: Eukaryota; Viridiplantae; Streptophyta; Magnoliopsida; Poales; Poaceae. RNAcentral also lists the same sequence under 1 other name. The record is from Rfam by way of RNAcentral.
AUCAUUGAUGAUGGUGAGAUGGCAUCUCAUAUACUUAAUGGUCUUGAUUAUGAAUACAAUCCCUUUGUUUCAUCGAUGCUUGAUC